RNAcentral lists this ribosomal RNA (506 nucleotides) under uncultured bacterium. RNAcentral describes it as "partial 16S ribosomal RNA". It matches the Rfam family "Bacterial small subunit ribosomal RNA", at positions 29 to 523 of the family's 1533-position model. The record is from RNAcentral.
AGUGAGCGCUGGCGGUAGGCCUAACACAUGCAAGUCGAACGGCAGCACAGGAGAGCUUGCUCUCUGGGUGGCGAGUGGCGGACGGGUGAGGAAUACAUCGGAAUCUACUCUGUCGUGGGGGAUAACGUAGGGAAACUUACGCUAAUACCGCAUACGACCUACGGGUGAAAGCAGGGGACCUUCGAGCCUUGCGCGAUUGAAUGAGCCGAUGUCGGAUUAGCUAGUUGGCGGGGUAAAGGCCCACCAAGGCGACAAUCCGUGGCUGGUCUGAGAGGAUGAUCAGCCACACUGGAACUGAGAAACGGUCCAGACUCCUACGGGAGGCAGCAGUGGGGAAUAUUGGACAAUGGGCGCAAGCCUGAUCCAGCCAUACCGCGUGGGUGAAGAAGGCCUUCGGGUUGUAAAGCCCUUUUGUUGGGAAAGAAAUCCAGCUGGCUAAUACCCGGUUGGGAUGACGGUACCCAAAGAAUAAGCACCGGCUAACUUCGUGCCAGCAGCCGCCGCAG